UGUCGAUCUCCAUUCCUCACACCAGAGGGUCUCUGCCAUGUGGUCCUGGUGUGGCAGUUUGGACCACAAUGGGUGUCAUGAUGGUAGAUGUAAAGCUGGGG
Gavialis gangeticus (Gharial) is the source of this 101-nucleotide long non-coding RNA. RefSeq lists it as uncharacterized. Lineage: Eukaryota; Metazoa; Chordata; Crocodylia; Gavialidae. The transcript is spliced from 3 exons. The record is from RefSeq and is a predicted model, not a curated record.